RNAcentral lists this long non-coding RNA (2027 nucleotides) under Olea europaea subsp. europaea. Lineage: Eukaryota; Viridiplantae; Streptophyta; Magnoliopsida; Lamiales; Oleaceae. The record is from RNAcentral.
UCAAAAACUUCAUUCCGAGUAAGUUAUCUACUUCUCUAACAUCUUUUAUCGUAUUGUCCUAAAUCUCCGAGUCUGAAAUCUUUUUUCCUCGCUUCGUUCAUCAGCAUCUGAGUCUUCAUUUGCUAACAAAAUUUCUUGUAUAUGCAAGUGUGUUAGUCUAAACUAUUGCUGUAUUUCCGGGUUUCUGACUUUAUGGGUGUUCUCAAUCUGUAACUUUGUAUGAACCGUGGCAUUUUGUGCUAAAAUAUAUCAUAUCGUAUGCAUAAAGGAACUUUACUGUGAACCUUAAAUUCACCUUAAGUUAUGAGUGCACAAGUUGGUUGGCACUGUAUCGAGUUUCAUUAAUGACUAAACACAUUUAAUCUUGAUGCUUUGAUUUCAAGCAAAAAAUUAUUGCUUAUUAGUGUUUUUUUUUUACCAUUCAAUAUGUCUCUGCUAUAUUAUCUCUUAGCAGGAGACUGCUUAAAUUUAGUAAAAAUGGGUAAUUAGGUUGAAGUAAAAAAUGCAUUUGAUUUUAUGGGUUCCAAUUUUGUGGAAACCUUGGGAAUUGUCUCUCCUUUUUACCUAAUAUCAGUUAUUUAAGACCAAUAAUUUUGUUUAAUUACGAACUACCAGUGCUCUGUAAAACGAAGGAGAACAUAGAUUUAUCUGAAAUCCAUACUCCUGGUUUAUUUGAAUAACAGGUUAACUUGGAAGAUUACCAGAUUAACUCAACUUUGCAUGCAAUAUCUAAUUGCAAAUGAAGUGACUUAUUACAAAGAUGUCUUCUGGGGAUUCCUAAGGCCUCGUACCAUAAUUUUCUUUUUGCUGCUAACUUCUUUUGCUUGAUGGUUUGUUGACAACUCUUUGGUAACUAGAGCUUUAAUUGAGAACCCAAAUUUGAUAAGAUGACCAUUAUUAUUGUAGGCAUUUUCUAGACUUCUUGAUCUUAUAUGUGGAAACGGUUAUAUAAUAUGCAUCGAUCAAAUAUAUGAUGUUAGGAUUGACAAGUAAGACACACAUACAAGUGCAUAUAUAUACAUGUAGCCUAUCAUCAGUAUCUCAUCUUAAAUAUGUAUAUCAUUGUGUAUGUAAGAAUAUCUCUACCGUCUCACUAGGAAGGUCCUCGAAAGUGUAACAAUGUUUAACACCUGUUUUCUUUCUACUUCUUCAAUACAUCCAUUUCACUGUUUUGCCCUGGCUUUGAAUGGAGGGUAAACAAACCUUAUUUACCCAUAGCUGCAGGAUCUUUCAGAACAAUCUGCAUGGUUCAUGGUGUUAUUGCUUGCUGCUAUUGACCUUAUAAUUGUUGGGAUAAACUUUGGUCCUUCUAUAACUGGUAUUUAUUGCCUCGGUCAUUUACUUGGUACCAUCUUUUAAUUGUUGGGAUUUGGAUGCAUUCAGUCCCUCUCUCCCAAGACUAGUUGUUUAGCAUGAUUAAUUUUUCACCCAACUGGGCUUACUCAAACUUGGAGACUAAGGUAAUUAACAAACUGGUUUUAUCAACUAAAUAUAUCUGUCUGUAUGCCUUGUUACAGAAAAAAAUAAAAAUCUGCACGAUGUUUUGGGUUUUUUAAUCUACUUCCAGCUUUCUGUUUAUCCAUAAUCGUAUAGAACAAGAUAUUGGCAGUGUUGAUAUUUAUGGCUAAAUUUUCACCCGUAAGAAUUUCGGUAGUUCAAUAUUGUGUUUUUUUGUUGGCCAAAAUUUCACUUGCUUAAAGAUCAUGCAUUUGGGCCUAUUGUUGUCAUUAAUAUCUCCAUCUUUUGUAACCACAAAGCAGGUCCUGAUAGCUAGAAGAUUUCUCAAGAGUGAACAAGAAUUAGCAAUCUGCAGAUGAUCAAUUGGUGAUGCAGUAGGACUUAUUCUUGUUGAUAUCAUGAUUUUUUUUAUAUCAUCCUUGUACUACAUAGUGCGAGUACUUGUGGCAAAAGCCAUAAUUUUUUUGUUUCAUGAUUUGUAAAUUUUAACAGCAUCUUACUCGAGUGAUUGCAUUUGCUUUACAUUACAUUUUUGGUUUACUUAAGAGGAUACAUGAGCCAAGUAAUUG